Molecule: long non-coding RNA, 2481 nt
Organism: Galleria mellonella (greater wax moth)
Lineage: Eukaryota; Metazoa; Arthropoda; Insecta; Lepidoptera; Pyralidae
Exons: 3
Source: RefSeq, a predicted model, not a curated record
AGUUUGGAAAUUUUGGCAGUUUUUUUGCCCGGUCUGUGGCAAUUUGCUAUUAAUGAAAUGGUCACACUGUACAGUGCUGUCAUUUUUAUGGCUGUAUCUAUGGUAUCUCAUUUUUGCAUUCCACCAAAAUAAAGCACUCCACUUCUGAAAUAAAAUGGUCUCUUUACUUUUUUCUAAUAAUCUUAGCCUAUUAAGUCUAUAUGGACGAUAUUUUAUUUACCAGAUCAGACUCUGUUACUCGUGGCAAUAAAACUUUUGAAUAGUACUUUGAGUAACAGUUAAUAUUUUAAAGGAGACAAUGGCUCCCACAGUAAUCUUUGAUGAUGAAAACAUUAAUCCUGUACCAGAAGAAUGUCUCACUUCUGAAGUUUAUAAAAUAAGUUAACAAAAUGCGUUUGACGAAAAUAUUGCUAAGUUAUUAAAAGAGAAAAAUUGGCUCACUGCAGUACUAAAUCAUGUUGCCGGGUUCAGACACCUACAACAAUACUGACACGAAUGCUUGAAUUUCCACCAGAGUGAUAAUAAAAAUUAUUUGUAUUAUUUUUAUCCAUACUAAGGGUUAGGUUAGUAGGUUUCUUGACAGUCUGCGGGGAAAGCAUUUUAUGAUUUGCAAAUGUUUAUUCUAUUGCUUAUGAUACUGAUAUAUACUCGUAUUAUAUGCGAUACGAUGGAGAAGGGAUGUUUUGUACGAUGUAUUGAUUGACAGAAUUUAUAACUGCUGUUUUAAAUAUAUGAAUACAAACUUUUUGGAGUUAUUUUAUAAUGUAUUCUGUUGGAUAGUUUUAAAUUUUAUACACAAUACAUCACAUCACAUUAGAAACCUUUAAAAUUAUCAGUGUUUCUAUACUAUAUUAUGCAUGUAUUAUACAUAUAAACCUUCCUCUUGAAUUACUCUAUCUAUUAAAAAACCGCUUCAAAAUCCGUUGCGUACUUUUAAAGAUUUAAGCAUACAUAGGGACGGACAGACAGCGACUUUGUUUUAUACUAUGUAGUGAUACUAGCAUAAGAAUAAUUUAUUAAUAGGAUACUAGUUUAUAAUUGUUUAUAAUAAAAAAAUAGCCAUAGUAUUAUAUAAAAAUAUUGUUGAGUAGGUAUUCGUAUUAUCAUGCUAUGUUACGGAAGCGUUUUCACAAUUUCUUAAUAUUUCUUAAAUGGCUUUGGAAAAUAUUUACAAUUUUUUUUUUAUAAAGUCAGAUCAAAUAAUCUUAACAUAGAGGAUUUUGUACAAAUUUAAUCACAGAACAUACAUUAUUAUUACUCCAUAAAAAUUCUAUUAUUACUCAUUACAACAAUUAUAGGUCAUAUUUUCUCUAAAAAAUCUUUUAAUAAUCUUGAUUACAUUGUUAAUAAAUUUUGAUGCACAAAGCUGUAUCACAAAAAGAAACAAACUUAUAUACAGCUCACCUAUCGUAGAAUACUUAUUGUCAGCUUCUUUAUUGACAGUUUCACAAGUAUAAAUUGUUCAUUUAAUUUCAGAAGCUGCCCCCAUAGAGUUUGUUAGACAAUUUAAACCAUAGCAAUGUCUACGUUGUGGAAUUUGUAAAAUAAGGUAUUUCAAAUUCUUUAUUCGAUUUUUAAUUAUAUUGUUUGUUUCAAUAGAACAUAAUGACAAUAUAAACAAAGGAAUAGUUGAACCUACAAUAUCACAGUUUGCUGAAGUCCGUCAGUUUUCACAAUUCUUGAUUAUAUUUUUAUACUACUAAAGUAUUAUAGUCUACUAAAGUAUUUAGUAUAUUUUUUAUUAAUUUAAUUACAUAUUAUACAGACUGUAAGGGACAUGCUGGCAAAAACUGAAACUGAAAUCAGAUCAUUAUUCCGAACUGAAAACCAAUGGAAAUUCUUAUGUAAUCUAUGAUAUUUUAUCAUAAUAUAAAGAAAUAAUAAUAUUUUUAGUGAAAUACCAAAAAAAAGCAAUGUAUUAUUCGUAUUAAAAUUCUACACCGAGAUUCACGGAAUCAGAGGGCCUACCAUGAAAUAUUUUUCGAAAUUUCGGGGACUAACGAAAUAGAAAUUUGAUGUUAAAAUUACAUAAUACAUGCCGUUUAAAAUUUUAAAAAUGUUAAAAUAUCGUUCCUCUGGACUGUUACGAUAGGAUUUAUGAUGAAUGAAAUGUUAAGCUCCAUUUACUGGGUCUAUUUCGUAACGAACAAAAACACGAAAUUGAGUCCGAAAAUUCGAAUAUCAUUUCAUGGUAGACCACCAGCUGUUUGAGAUCAACGCCACAGACGUACGAAAAAUACUGAAGGAGAAGCGGCCAUUGUGGGUAUUCAUCUGAAUCACCUGUUUUCGUUAUGGCCAACCUGUCCCUUCCACCCUGUAGAUUGAUUAAGAGAUUGAUAUGUUGAGUAUAAGAAUAAUAUAAAUAAGUGAAUUUUGUUUUAUAUUGUGUAAUAAUGUGUUUUUAUAUAAUAGUUAUAUGUAUGUGUUGAAUUAUAUGUGUAUUAAUUAUUACAUCGCAUAAAAAUUUAAAUAAAAAUAUGU